GACGAACGCUGGCGGCGUGCUUAACACAUGCAAGUCGAACGGAAAGGCCCUGCUUUUGUGGGGUGCUCGAGUGGCGAACGGGUGAGUAACACGUGAGUAACCUGCCCUUGACUUUGGUAUAACUUCAGGAAACUGGUGCUAAUACCGGAUAGGAGCUCCUGCUGCAUGGUGUGGGUUGGAAAGUUUCGGCGGUUGGGGAUGGACUCGCGGCUUAUCAGCUUGUUGGUGGGGUAGUGGCUUACCAAGGCUUUGACGGGUAGCCGGCCUGAGAGGGUGACCGGCCACAUUGGGACUGAGACACGGCCCAGACUCCUACGGGAGGCAGCAGUGGGGAAUAUUGCACAAUGGGCGGAAGCCUGAUGCAGCAACGCCGCGUGCGGGAUGACGGCCUUCGGGUUGUAAACCGCUUUCGCCUGUGACGAAGCGUGAGUGACGGUAAUGGGUAAAGAAGCACCGGCUAACUACGUG
This 468-nucleotide ribosomal RNA is filed under the name uncultured bacterium. RNAcentral's name for it is "partial 16S ribosomal RNA". It matches the Rfam family "Bacterial small subunit ribosomal RNA", at positions 28 to 507 of the family's 1533-position model. The record is from RNAcentral.